This 771-nucleotide long non-coding RNA is filed under the name Nicotiana benthamiana. Its description in RNAcentral is "long non-coding RNA (NBEN_LNC007556)". Lineage: Eukaryota; Viridiplantae; Streptophyta; Magnoliopsida; Solanales; Solanaceae. The record is from RNAcentral.
GAAUAAGAACAAUAAUAAUAAUGCACUUCAGAUGAAAGGUAAGCAAGAAAGUUAUGUAUAUAUAUUCUCUUGAUUGAUGCGUUACAAAUGAUUGGUAUCCCUUUUAUAUGGUAGAGGAAUCCUGAAUAAGGUACAAUUCUAAUUGAAGUAGGGAAUCUUAUUAUACAACUGUCUAACUGCCUAGCUUUAUAUGGUAGAGUAAUCCUGAAUAAGGUACAAUUCUAAUUGAAGUAGGGAAUAACCUUAUUAUACAACUGUCUAACCGCCUAGUACAUAUCCAUUCUAAAAUUUACACCGUGAUCUUAGAACCACUACGGGAAUCUUGCUCUUUCUGUUGUGAAAACAUAACGGUAUUAUCUCGAGGUUGAUCAUACUUGGCCUCGGUGUUCAUCGACCACUUCAAUAUUCAAGUCUUGUACUUCACCAUCGGGCUCGAGCCCGGUCCAUUUCGAACUUGCUCUCGAAGCGACCCCCUUGAGCCUACUGAAUCAGGCGUACCUAAUUUCAACCAUAUACAAGGUUACAACCACAUUCAUAAGGGAACGAGGAACGCAAAACUAUUUCUUGCUAAGUAACUUCCUAGAAAGCAUUCCGAAAGCGGCGGGGAUUGCCAGCAAUUUUAAGCAUUAAUGAGCGGCAACUGUUCUUUUGCCUGGAGAUAGUAGAUAGUAAGGCCCAACACAUUCUCUAGGAUCCCUCAAAAGUUAAUUGAAGAUGAGAAACAAUUUGACUUGGACGUGGAAAUAGUAGAGUUUGGAGGGUUGGUUGAGA